Molecule: long non-coding RNA, 744 nt
Organism: Arachis duranensis
Lineage: Eukaryota; Viridiplantae; Streptophyta; Magnoliopsida; Fabales; Fabaceae
Exons: 3
Source: RefSeq, a predicted model, not a curated record
AUGAAGCCUGUAAUCAAAAUGUUCCAUGGAGAGAGGUAAGUGGAAGGAAAAUUUUUGUUGGAUAAAAAUUGAAAACGCAGGCGUUUUGUAAACCCCCGGUAUCCUAAUGUGAUGGUGAGCAUCCACUCGUCCAGGCUUCAGUGGUGUCCUCAACCGUCAUCGUAUUUGUUCUUUGUGUGGGUACUUCGUGUUAAUGUUUCCUUGAAGAUCUGUCACCUGUAUAACGUUGGUGUCCCAGAUCGCAGGCAACAGGCAUCGUGUCGGAGAGGUUGUUCAUCGUUGUAGCAGAAACGCACCUUUUGGCACCGAAGCUCGUUAACGCGUGAAGGUCGUGGCUCUCUGUCGCUGGUGGUGGUUGAGGUGUCAUUGCUUCAAGUGUCAGUUCAGGUGGUCAUUUACAUUUGCCGUGUGUAGGUCAGUAGUCAGUGAAUAAUGGCAUCGAGUAGCAAGUUCGGCUAGGAGCCGUGUACGUGGAAUGAGCUUCUUGGGGAUCACUGGACGGAUGUCAAUAUCUGUGUUUCGAAUCAACAGGAGAUAAUGUUUGAUAUGGUAGUCGAGGUAGAUGCUGACUUAUCUUAUUGGGAAGGUAGGGGGCUUCUGUGUUGCCCAAUUUUUUGGGUUUGGAUGGGUUGCGAGCCAAAGAUGACCUUGAAAUGGAGUUUUCUACACCUAAAGAGGCAAGCGGCUUCUAUAACAACUACAGCCAACUAAAGGGCUUUGCAUCACGACGUGGUAAGACGGUUA